CAUUAUUGAAAUAAACCUGAUGAGUUGCUGCUGGUUCUCCAGGGAGCAUGUGCACACUUGUCAUCUUUAUAUCUCCACCUGUGCACCUUUUGUAGACCUGGAUAUCUCUCUGAACGCUAGUCGUUCAGGACUGAGGAUUGAUAUCAUGUCUCUCCUUAUAUUUCCAGGCCUAUGUUUCUUCAUAUACCCAAUGUAUGUCAUAGAAUGUAAUCAAUGGCCUUGGUGCCUAUAAACCUAUACAACUUUCAGCAACGGAUCUCUUGGCUCUCGCAUCGAUGAAGAACGCAGCGAAAUGCGAUAAGUAAUGUGAAUUGCAGAAUUCAGUGAAUCAUCGAAUCUUUGAACGCACCUUGCGCUCCUUGGUAUUCCGAGGAGCAUGCCUGUUUGAGUGUCAUUAAUAUAUCAACCUCUUCAGCUUUUGCUUGUUGAGUGUUGGAAGUGGGGGUCUUUUUUGCUGGUCUUCCCAGGUCAGCUCCCCUGAAAUGCAUUAGCGGAACAAUUUGUGAAACGUUCAUUGGUGUGAUAACUAUCUACGCUAUUGACGUGAAGCAGUUCAGCUUCUAACAGUCCAUUCACUUGGACAAAUUUUCAUUAAUGUGACCUCAAAUC
RNAcentral lists this ribosomal RNA (609 nucleotides) under Phlegmacium brunneiaurantium. Its description in RNAcentral is "eukaryotic LSU rRNA". The stretch from base 241 to 394 matches the Rfam family "5.8S ribosomal RNA". Lineage: Eukaryota; Fungi; Basidiomycota; Agaricomycetes; Agaricales; Cortinariaceae. The record is from RNAcentral.